RNAcentral lists this ribosomal RNA (245 nucleotides) under uncultured bacterium. Its description in RNAcentral is "partial small subunit ribosomal RNA". It matches the Rfam family "Bacterial small subunit ribosomal RNA", at positions 26 to 286 of the family's 1533-position model. The record is from RNAcentral.
AGAAUCAACGCUGGCGGCGUGCCUAACACAUGCAAGUCGAACGAGAAAGUGGAGCAAUCCAUGAGUAAAGUGGCGACCGGGUGAGUAACACGUGACUAACCUACCUUUCAGUGGGGAAUAACCUCGGGAAACCGGGCUAAUACCGCAUAAUGUCUUCGGACCAAAGGAGCAAUUCGCUGAAAGAGGGGGUCGCGGCCGAUUAGCUAGUUGGCGGGGUAACGGCCCACCAAGGCAAUGAUCGGUAG